AGAACGCUGAAGCUUGGUGCUUGCACCGAGCGGAUGAGUUGCGAACGGGUGAGUAACGCGUAGGUAACCUGCCUCUUAGCGGGGGAUAACUAUUGGAAACGAUAGCUAAUACCGCAUAAAAGUCGAUAUCGCAUGAUAUUGAUUUGAAAGGUGCAAUUGCAUCACUAAGAGAUGGACCUGCGUUGUAUUAGCUAGUUGGUGAGGUAACGGCUCACCAAGGCGACGAUACAUAGCCGACCUGAGAGGGUGAUCGGCCACACUGGGACUGAGACACGGCCCAGACUCCUACGGGAGGCAGCAGUAGGGAAUCUUCGGCAAUGGGGGCAACCCUGACCGAGCAACGCCGCGUGAGUGAAGAAGGUUUUCGGAUCGUAAAGCUCUGUUGUAAGAGAAGAACGAGUGUGAGAGUGGAAAGUUCACACUGUGACGGUAACUUACCAGAAAGGGACGGCUAACUACGUGCCAGCAGCCGCGGUAAUACGUAGGUCCCGAGCGUUAUCCGGAUUUAUUGGGCGUAAAGCGAGCGCAGGCGGUUAGAUAAGUCUGAAGUUAAAGGCUGUGGCUUAACCAUAGUACGCUUUGGAAACUGUUUAACUUGAGUGCAGAAGGGGAGAGUGGAAUUCCAUGUGUAGCGGUGAAAUGCGUAGAUAUAUGGAGGAACACCGGUGGCGAAAGCGGCUCCCUGGUCUGUAACUGACGCUGAGGCUCGAAAGCGUGGGGAGCAAACAGG
This 730-nucleotide ribosomal RNA is filed under the name uncultured Bacilli bacterium. RNAcentral's name for it is "bacterial SSU rRNA". It matches the Rfam family "Bacterial small subunit ribosomal RNA", at positions 63 to 776 of the family's 1533-position model. The record is from RNAcentral. Lineage: Bacteria; Bacillati; Bacillota; Bacilli.